Molecule: ribosomal RNA, 1503 nt
Filed under: Escherichia coli
Lineage: Bacteria; Pseudomonadati; Pseudomonadota; Gammaproteobacteria; Enterobacterales; Enterobacteriaceae
Description: bacterial SSU rRNA
Rfam family: Bacterial small subunit ribosomal RNA
Source: RNAcentral
AGAGUUUGAUCCUGGCUCAGAUUGAACGCUGGCGGCAGGCCUAACACAUGCAAGUCGAACGGUAACAGGAAGCAGCUUGCUGCUUUGCUGACGAGUGGCGGACGGGUGAGUAAUGUCUGGGAAACUGCCUGAUGGAGGGGGAUAACUACUGGAAACGGUAGCUAAUACCGCAUAACGUCGCAAGACCAAAGAGGGGGACCUUCGGGCCUCUUGCCAUCGGAUGUGCCCAGAUGGGAUUAGCUAGUAGGUGGGGUAACGGCUCACCUAGGCGACGAUCCCUAGCUGGUCUGAGAGGAUGACCAGCCACACUGGAACUGAGACACGGUCCAGACUCCUACGGGAGGCAGCAGUGGGGAAUAUUGCACAAUGGGCGCAAGCCUGAUGCAGCCAUGCCGCGUGUAUGAAGAAGGCCUUCGGGUUGUAAAGUACUUUCAGCGGGGAGGAAGGGAGUAAAGUUAAUACCUUUGCUCAUUGACGUUACCCGCAGAAGAAGCACCGGCUAACUCCGUGCCAGCAGCCGCGGUAAUACGGAGGGUGCAAGCGUUAAUCGGAAUUACUGGGCGUAAAGCGCACGCAGGCGGUUUGUUAAGUCAGAUGUGAAAUCCCCGGGCUCAACCUGGGAACUGCAUCUGAUACUGGCAAGCUUGAGUCUCGUAGAGGGGGGUAGAAUUCCAGGUGUAGCGGUGAAAUGCGUAGAGAUCUGGAGGAAUACCGGUGGCGAAGGCGGCCCCCUGGACGAAGACUGACGCUCAGGUGCGAAAGCGUGUGGAGCAAACAGGAUUAGAUACCCUGGUAGUCCACGCCGUAAACGAUGUCGACUUGAAGGUUGUGCCCUUGAGGCGUGGCUUCCGGAGCUAACGCGUUAAGUCGACCGCCUGGGGAGUACGGCCGCAAGGUUAAAACUCAAAUGAAUUGACGGGGGCCCGCACAAGCGGUGGAACAUGUGGUUUAAUUCGAUGCAACGCGAAGAACCUUACCUGGUCUUGACAUCCACAGAACUUUCCAGAGAUGGAUUGGUGCCUUCGGGAACUGUGAGACAGGUGCUGCAUGGCUGUCGUCAGCUCGUGUUGUGAAAUGUUGGGUUAAGUCCCGCAACGAGCGCAACCCUUAUCCUUUGUUGCCAGCGGUCCGGCCGGGAACUCAAAGGAGACUGCCAGUGAUAAACUGGAGGAAGGUGGGGAUGACGUCAAGUCAUCAUGGCCCUUACGACCAGGGCUACACACGUGCUACAAUGGCGCAUACAAAGAGAAGCGACCUCGCGAGAGCAAGCGGACCUCAUAAAGUGCGUCGUAGUCCGGAUUGGAGUCUGCAACUCGACUCCAUGAAGUCGGAAUCGCUAGUAAUCGUGGAUCAGAAUGCCACGGUGAAUACGUUCCCGGGCCUUGUACACACCGCCCGUCACACCAUGGGAGUGGGUUGCAAAAGAAGUAGGUAGCUUAACCUUCGGGAGGGCGCUUACCACUUUGUGAUUCAUGACUGGGGUGAAGUCGUAACAAGGUAACC